AAACUCCCCUCCUCCUGUCACCACCUCGCUGCCACCCUCUCGUCUCUCUUCCCGGUACCCGGCAGGCGAACGAGGGGAAGGUGAGGUUGCCGCUGAUUGGCUGUCCGCGGGCGAAGGAAGAUGGCUCCUGAUUGGUUGAGGCUCCAGGAAGGGCAGUUGAGACAUUGCGACUCCGAGCAGGCACGGGCAAGACCAAGACGGCAGCUGCCAAGACGCUCAAGAAUUCCCAUUCCCAUGCCUCCUCCUGCCUUCUGUGUAUGUGAAAGAAAAGGGGGGGGGGGGGGAAAUACAUACCAGACGUUUUUUUUUUUUUUUUUUUUUUUUUUUGCUUGUCCGGACUUGGCCCCAAGAUUGGGAGUCAACCUGCUUGGCUGCUCCCAAACCACGAACGAGUGCAGGCAGGUGAGAUGGGAUGAUUUGGAUGAUUUGUCCUCCGUACGGACAGAAAGAAAGUGAAUAUUGACACCGGCGCAUAAAUUACAAGGAACAAUUUCACGCCGAGAUCCUGCAAAGCUGCCGCAUCAGAUGCAGCUCGGAGAGGUGAGGCUGAGGCCAGAACAUUUUGAGGUUUGAAAAACAAAAACCGGAAUCCGAAAAUGACCUCUGAAGUGCACAAGCAGUUGGUGGGGGAAGGCCAGAAUAAGAGUUAUGUGCUCCCUCUUACGUGCUCCAGUUGAGCGGGACAAUGCCAGCUUUUACAGGCAACGUGAAAUGGAAAAUUAAACAAGCGUUAACACUCACAACUAUGGAGGAUUUCAGUUAAUAUACAGCAUGGACGCUGAUGAUCCAAGGCAUACCACAUCAUACGUCAGGCAGUGUUGCAGGGUUGAGGAACCCUUUUUGGUCCUCUGAGAGCCGUAAAAGUUCACACGAAAAAAAUAAGGCGGAACAUUUUGGGCUCAACUCAAUUCAAAUAUAUUCAUUUGUAUCUAUUUUGUAUUUGUUUAUCUGUUCGUGAUUAUAUUAUAUUGUUAUGCACUGUGAAUACGUUUAUUUACCAUAAGUAAUGAAAUAAAAAAUAUUAAUGAAAUAUACAAGUUGAACUAUAGAUGCCAUCUUAAAAAUUGAAUAAUUGGUCCAUAAUUGAGCAUGAUUAGAAUACACAAUUUUAUUUGUUGAAUUAAUUUAGAGCAGUUUUCCCCAGAAACUGGCUAGUCUUAUUGUACUUAUUUGUAUCAAUGUAUCUCUAAAUAAUAUUGGUAAAAUAAUAAUAAAAUACAAUAUUUAUCGUAAAAUAUUAUUCAUCAAUGAUAAAGUAUCAGUAAAAGAAACAAUUUUCUUAUACCGUCCUUGUUUAUUUCAUUAAAUAAUUGGUUAAUGAACUGUAAUUAAAUUAUUAAAUUCUAAAUAAUCUUUUUUUUUUUACCUCACGUAUAAAUGAGUUGGCCCAUGUCUCCGUUUUAAAACCCCAAACCCGACCCUCAAGCACAAAAGUGUGGCCACCCCAGAUCCAAAGCAUACCACAUCAUGCAGAUUUCAAGCUCUCGCAGGCCCCACCCCCCUCCAUCACUUACUGUGACCCUGCUGGUCACAUGACCAGAUGUUACGAGCAGGCGGCGGCGGCGGCGGCGGCGUUGUUGUUGUGGCUACGCUGCGAUGCGUAUGUGCGGUUCGACUGGUCUGGCAACAUUGUGGCAAAACUGGUUGGUGCGCAACGGGAGGGUGGAAGUAGAGGAAGUGUCAAAUGAGGAAGAUUUAAGAGUUAGCUUCCUCUUACAGGCGGGAAGGCACGGCGGGAUAUUCUGAUGUGGUAAUGUGCGGGUUUGGGGGGCGUACGGUGGCCCCGAAGAGACAAAAAGACGUCCCGUUUGUUGUCAAAGCUGUGAUUUAGUCUUCAUUUAGCCGUCACACCGACGACACCGCCUUGAGCGGGUUGGCCUAUUGCUGAUACGUCAAUGUGUCCGCCAUAUUGGAUGUGGCCGAUGUGCCCGUAAACUAACCUAACAACUUCAUAAAGUGGCAACCUACUUCGUUAAAGCUUCUCGUUCACCCAUCCACUAAUAUAUUUAGAAAACAGAUGUAUAUGCAUAUUUUUAAGAUAUCAUUUUUUAAAAUGUUUUUUUUUCCAGUCCCAAGUUUUGAGUUGCGCACAUCCCGUGUAGUACCACGUUGUGCCACAACAUGUUGGGCAGUACUGAGCUUUUCUGGAAGACAUGCAACAAGAAAAAGAAGUAGAAAAGGUCCCCUACUCAGCUGCCGUAACAUUCAUUGUUCCCACUAUAUAUAGAGAGAGAGAAGAGGCAAAAUAUGCCUGCGAGUGUUGUUGUAUGCUGUGUUUGUAUGUGUUGCUGCUCUGUGUGUGUUAGAGGAGCAGUUGUUUGAAGGUUUAUAAAUCAGCAUAACAUCUAUGCUAAUUUCCAUUAGUCUGUCUAUGGCGUUUCGCAUUACUGUAUAUGUUAGCAUUAAGAUCAACUUUCCUGAGACAAAAUAUGAUUGUUUUUUUUUUUACUCACAUACACAAUGUGUAAUUCUAUUUUGUUUUAUGUAUCAGUUUUACAGUUAACUUAAACUGGGGGUGAGAAAUAAACAGUUUGAAGCAA
This is a long non-coding RNA of Phyllopteryx taeniolatus (common seadragon), 2540 nucleotides long. RefSeq lists it as uncharacterized. The transcript is spliced from 3 exons. Lineage: Eukaryota; Metazoa; Chordata; Actinopteri; Syngnathiformes; Syngnathidae. The record is from RefSeq and is a predicted model, not a curated record.